UCGUAGCUCAACUGGAUAGAGCAACGGACUUCGAAUCCGUAGGUUGCAGGUUCGAGACCUGUCGGA
This 66-nucleotide transfer RNA is filed under the name uncultured Treponema sp. It matches the Rfam family "tRNA", at positions 6 to 65 of the family's 71-position model. From Rfam's summary of the family: Transfer RNA (tRNA) molecules are approximately 80 nucleotides in length. The record is from RNAcentral. Lineage: Bacteria; Pseudomonadati; Spirochaetota; Spirochaetia; Treponematales; Treponemataceae.